CGUGAGCAGGAGCAGGUGCACAUCCUCAGGGCUGCCCUGAGUGAGUGAUCUCCAGGUAAAAAAUAGGAGCUUUAGUCAGCACUCUUCAACUGUCAAUCAAAGAUCCCACCUCAAAGCAUCUUGAUGAAAAAAACAAAAACAAAAAAUGAUAAAAUGGGGUGGUCAUUAGGUUUGGCCACUGCAAAGUUCAGGCCCAGGGCUGAUUCAGGACAUACCCAUGGGGUGGAAAUGCACUCGCACCCCUGACCCCUCCUUGAGCUUGCCUGGGAGUGACCCCAACAGACCCUGCCCUGGCUGGCACCUCCCAAGCCCUGCUAAAAUUAGCCACAGUUGCAGGUGGGUCAGAGUACAGAGGGUUCCUUGCAGAGAUGUGGGGCUCAUCCGCCAAUGGCCGUUGUGGUCCCCCCUGAGACGAUUGAUCCUUUUCCCAAAAUAAAGCAAAGAUGGCCUCACCAGACCUCAUGUGACAGGUCUAUGACCCCCAGCUCCUGUUUGCUAUGGGGGCAGGGCUCAUGUCAGAGUUUGGAGCUGGCCAGGCCAGGGAGCAGCUGCCCCGGAGUCUUGCUGUUCACCUGGGCCGUGCAACCGCAUAGUAAGGCGGAUCCAGCUCUUCUUGCUCCGUUCCUUGGGUGGCGAGAGUGUGCCCAAGAACUUGGAAACAGUACUGCAAAUUCAGUCAAGGAUAUUCAAGAUUAUUCCUUCUGCUAUCAAAAAAUAGCACAGAUCCCACACAUCAAAAUACUGCAUAGGGAAUUGAUGAAAUAAAUGACGCAGCAUGCAGUCAAUGAAAAUGGUGAGAAAAAAAGAAAAGAAAAAGAAAAUGGUGAGAUUGAUUAAUGGUUGUUUAAAGAAACUCUUUAUUUAUUUUUUUGGUAUCGGGGAUCAAACUUAGGACCUUGCGCUUACAAGGCAGGCGGCGGCACCAUUGAGCUAAAUCCCCAGCCCGAAACUGUUUAUUUUUUAACUUUUGAUUUUUUUGGAGACAGGGUCUUGCUAUGUAUUUUAGACUGGCCUUUAACUCGUUAUAUAGCCCAGGCUGGCCUCGAACUCAUGAUCCUGCCUCAGCCUCUGGAGUGCUGGGAUUAUAGGCGUGUGCUACCAUGCCUGGUUUAAAGGAACCGUUUAGAAGAACCUGGUAGAAGUGACGGAGGGGGACUGGAGCCUGGGUCGUGAAGGAUAUGUGGCUCCUGUCUUUCUUUGGAUUGUUCACUGUGGGGGAGGCUGCUAUCAUGCCACGUGGAUGGACACUCAAGCCCUUGGGAAGAUCUAACCCAGGAGGAAGCUCCUGUCCUCAGGCUGCACCCAGAAAUCACAGCUUCUGGCAGCUCGGCCUGGCCAGGCCCUUGAGGGCAACCUGAGUUGCUUCUGAGUUUCUGCCCUGCAGACAUGUGAGACAGUAAAGGUUCAUUGUUUAAAGUCAC
RNAcentral lists this long non-coding RNA (1421 nucleotides) under Fukomys damarensis (Damara mole-rat). RNAcentral's name for it is "lncRNA (ENSFDAG00000026840.1)". Lineage: Eukaryota; Metazoa; Chordata; Mammalia; Rodentia; Bathyergidae. The record is from RNAcentral.